CCCCAAAGAGGGGAGAUAAUUCUACCCAUGAGAUUGAUAAAUUUUUGGAAUUUAAGGGAAUAAAUGGAAAUAGGGAUCAGGCAGGAAAAUGGAGUAGAAAUUGAAAAGCAGUCAUAAUCUUAUUGAAUGACAGGGUAAACUCGAGGGGCUGUAGGAGCACUUCUGCCCCUAUUUCUUAUGUUCUUAAAAAGAAAGGGAACAGAGAUAUAUUGUCUUCAGUAAAGCAUUAAUUGUAAUAAUAAACAAAGUACAACAACUAUGAAUACUGUGGGAGGGCAAGUUCUGGCAGGUAUCUGAACUUAAGUUAUAUUGAGCCAUUAGGAUAAGUGGACACAGGUGCAAACUAGUAAAUUAUGAUGAAAUAUUUCUUCACACGCAACGAAUAGAAUAGAAUUUCACACAGUUGUGGAGGCAAAACUUAUGGAAUCUUUUGGAAAGGAUUGAGUGAGAGAGAGGGAGGAAACAUUCAAGAUGCAUGAAUUAACAUGGAGCGAAUUGCCUUCCUCAUCAAAAGACUAAGGGCUGGAUUUUACAGGCCCCCAUCGAUCGUGUUUUCGACAGAAGUCCAUGUAAACUAGGCCAGAUGGCUAGCCCACCCCAUCCACCCCCCAGCUGACCUCCAUAGUACGCUAGCUGGACGGGUGCCAAAAUUGGCAGCCCCCCCGCCAUAUGUAAGUAAAUAAUUAAGGGGAAAUUAGGCUUGUCAGCAAGCUUAUUGACCUGGAUAAUACUCUGCCCAUAAUAUGACUGGCAUGGUCAGGUGGGCGGGAGCAGGUAGGCUGGUUUUUAAGGCCAAGAUGUAAAAGGGCGGGAAGGAAAGGGGGCACUUCAUUCAGCCGGUCUCCUGCGCACAGUGGGGUACCCCUCCAAGGUAUCGUCUCCCCCCAGCCCCCAGUUCCUUCCACGCCACCUCCCCUCCAAAACCUGCCCGCCCCCCCCCCCCCCUCUCUUCCCCCUUCUCUGGAUUCUAGGACCCCUCCCUGCACCCCAGGCGUCACCUUUCUGUGGCAGCCAUCGCCCCUUUUCUUGCUCUUUCCUGCAAGUCCUGGCAGUGCCCACUACCCGGCUCUGGGACUGCUGGAGCUGCUGGCCAAUCUGAUUGGCCGGCAGCUCCUGAGGGCGGGACUUCCUUCCACUGAGGGGUGGAAGUACCGCUCUCAACCACUUUAGGCCACCCUCAGCUUGCUAUGGCUGCGUGUCAGGCUCCUUCCAGCCGCGUCUGCUUCUGGCUGACUUUCCUUCUGAGGGGAGGAGCAGUUCACCACCACCAUCCCUCGCCCACCCGCUGCUGCCCACCCCGCCCCCGCUAUAGUGCUGUGCUUAAGUGAGAUGAGAGACUGGAGAAGCUGGGCUUGUUCUCCUUGGGACGGAGAAGGUGAAAGGGAGAUGUAAUGGAGAUCUUCAAAAUUAUGUAGGGGUUCGAUAACACUAAUGGUGAGAAACUGUUUCCACUGGCAGGAGGAUCAAUAACUAAUUAGGACACAGAUUCAAGAUAAUUGGCAAAAGAACCAGAGGAAAGAUAAGGAUAAUUUGUUUACUCGGAGAGUUGUUACGGUCUUAAAGGGUGGUGGAAGCAAAUUCAAUAGUAUCUUUAAAAAGGAACUUGGAUGAACACUUGAAAAGAAAAAGAAUUGCAGAGCUAUGGGGGAAGAGCAGAGGAGUGGGGCUAAUUGGAUAGCUCUUUCAAAGAGUUAGUACAAGCAUGAUGGGCUGAAUGACCUCCUUCUGUGCUGUCUCAUUCUAUGAUCUUGUAAACUAUAGUGUAGAGUUAGUGGAAUUCCAGAUGAACUGUUCUUGACUGUUUCCCUUGUCUUAUCAUCUUUUGAUAGCCAGCAUUUAGAGUUUAUUUAGCUAUGGUAGCUCCAAAAUACAUCUUAUUCUUGAUAAAUAUGUUGGCCUUGCCUAUGAAAAUUGUGCUUAGAUUGAAAACUCAGUGAAGCAAGAAUUUUCCAAGCUUUGCCUCACAGUCUAGUUAAUAAUUAAUUCCGCAAUUCAUUUUAAAGCUGAAUGGCAGAAAACAUCUGUCAUGCUUUGCCCAAUUUUGAUUCGACUCCUUCAUCUUGCUGCCCUCUCUGGAGGUCACCAGAUAUUGGUGGUGGAGGGGGCGGGGGGGUGGCAUUUGAAUGAUCCUAACUCAUCCAGCAGAAAAAAGCCACAGUUCCCCCACUGACUUUUGCUUGAAUAAAUUUCGGGACUUUUUAUUUUCGUUGUUCAAAAGUGUGAAAAAUCUCCCUGACUUUAGUCCUAAAUUUGCCUUUUGUUUAAGUGACACACACUUUGUCAUCCUUAAAGCUCAACUAGUCUUCCUGAUUUACCCUUUCUAUUCCGUUCGCUUUUCGUCCCUCCUCGCUGGUAGAUCCCACUUACCUGGCUUCUCUGAAAGACCGAAAUGUCAAAGGUUCUCCAGAUUGUCCUCAUAAAUUCAAAUUCUCUGACAUUCAGUCUCAUGGUUCUUCUAGGUGUCAGCUGUGUCUCAGUGGGUAGCCUGAGUCGGCAGGUUGCGAAUUCAAGUCCCUUUUGAGAGACUUGAGCACAAUCUCGAAGCUGAAACUCCACCGCAGCUCUGAGUCAGUGCUGCACUGUCAGAGGUGCUGUCUCCUGGGUGAGGCACAGAACUGAGGCCCUGUUUGAAACGAAAACAGAAAAUGCUGGAAAGACUCAGCUUGUCUGGCAGCACCCGUGGAGAGAGAAACAGACUCAAUGUUUCGAGUUCACAUUAUGACUGUCAUUGAGAGCUCCGAAGAAGAGUCAUACGGACUCGAAACGUUAACUCUGGGUGGCAUUUUCCCCCCGUCAGGGGGGGUUGUGCGGGAUUGGGUGCGAGCGGACGGAUUCCCGAUUGGCGCCCCCGAUUGGGAGCACGCUCCCAUUUUAUGUGGGCUGGCCAAUUAAGGACCGCCCAGCGUGACAUCCGCCCGGAAGCACUGUGCGCUCCCUGUGCGAGUGGGGGGUGAUUCCCUGAGCAGGUCCGUGCAAUCUUUCGCGCAUGUGCACAGAAGAGCACACAGAUCUCCCUGAGGCAAAGUGCUGCCUCAGGGAGAUCGGCUGAACUGCUAAAAAUUUAUUAAAGGUAUGAAAAAAUUUUCCUGACAUGUCCCUUCAUAUCCAGCCAGGAUAGGUUUUAAAACUGGUGUUACAGAUUGACUACCAAAUAAAGAAAGCUCCUGAAAUUCAUUUCCACCUGUUGUAUAUUUUAUAUCUCGGAUCUAUGCAGAGAUGACACUAGUUUGCGUGUGUGUGUAACAGGAUUUAGUUACAUGCUUUAAAAUCUCACUCUAGCUUCUGGUUUUUUCUGCAGCUUUGUUUGCUUUUCCCUGAGUCCACACCUAGGUGUGACCAAUAAAGCACAGUCAGCAUCAGUUGCAAGCAGGUUCACAUAAUCAAACACAGAACAAUUGAACACUACACCACACAUUGGCAAUUCACAAAGCCAGCUUUAAGCCCAGGUGGCAAGUUAAACCUUUACUUGUGUAUCUAUAGUUGUUUGAGGUAAACAGAAUUUGUAAACCUAUUAAAUUUAACUGCUAGGAUUAAUAUCUACAGUGAGGCAGCAUUGUUAGGAGAUCCUUCGUCACCUGGACUGUAAUGGUUCAAGAAAAAGGCUCACCAUUAACUUCUCAAAGCUCAUUUAGGAUGGAUCAUAAAUGCCGAUCUUGUCAGCCAUGCCCAUAUCCUGAGAAUGAAUAAAAAGCAAAUAAACAAAGGUCACUGGACAUAAGUAAAUCUCAGUAACUUUACCAUCGAAGCAAAGAUUUUGCUAAGUCAAGAUUGAUUUUAAAAAUGACCAUUGAACCUCAAGCCAUUUCAUCAGGCAUAAUACAUGAAUACAACUCUUCAGUGUAGUUCACAUGACACAAAGGAUAUUGAGUAUGUCCUUCACCUUUACUCUACCUUAAAGUGGACACCAGUCAACAGUGCAACAGUAAAGAAUUAUUCAUUCAUUAAGAUUUGUUGUUAGCUGCGAUGGAAAUUUUAAAAACUGACAUAAUUAAUAAUUAAUUUCUCAAAUGAAGCAAUCCUACAAAACCAUUAAGCCUUAUGUGUAGAUGGUACAACUCCUGCAGCUUUUAAAGGACAAUUGUUAAUAAUUAAACAACCUGGUAUGGCAGUAGAUUGUAACCAUAUAUUACAUCAGAAGGGGGUGAUGGAACCCAAUGGAGGAGGUGGUGGGUGACAUGCUUGGGAUGGGAUGGAUCUGUUGAGAAUGAAAUAUCCAAAGGAGAGAAGUAAAAUAAUUGGUUUAUUUUCCCUUUACAGUGAAGGAUUCAUCAAUGUCAAAUUUUUGGGAUUGCUAUUUUCCAAGAUAUGGGGGCGGGAUUUUGGCCUUGAUUUACGGGCACAAUCGGCAGGCCCGGAAGCGGCCGGGAAACGACCCGCCACCAGCGAUUGGCCCCCGACCGAGAUUUCACGCUGGCUGGCCAAUUAACGGCCAGCCAACGUGACAGGCGUGCUGAAACGUUCAGCGCUUCCGGGGUGGGGGGGGCGGGAGGAGGGCGAGUGCUGAAGUUAACGCGAUUGUGGGGGAACGCAGCAUUAAAGGUCCUCGAAGGCAGAGAGCUGCCUCAGCGAGCUGACGAAUUUAAAAUCAAUAAAAACAGAAUGUAAAAUCUGGAAGCAAUGUCCACGCUUCAGAAUGAGUCACCUCAACAUAUGGGUGUUGAGAAUUAUGUCCACACAUUUUUAUCUUUUUGUUAAUUAAUCUCGGAAACCUAAUCCUGCACUUUGGAUGAGAUGUCCUCAAAAAUGCAAAGGAUUCGCCCACCUGUCAACUGUAAUGCUGGACAGGCAUCGAAAAAUCCCCGCUAAUUGAAAUUUUAAUGACUGUAUUUGGUAUUUCCAUAGGUAUAGGGUUGUCUACAGCGUGUGACACACUCAUACCUCAGUUUUUGACACAGUGAAGAUAUUUCUCCUAAAUAUUGUCAGCUCCACAUUCUGUGGACAUUUAGGAAGAACUGAAUUGGACGCAGUUAGUCUUGCCUCAGCGAAGCGGACACAGAAAACAGUGCAGUUGUUUUGAUGCCCAAUGUUUUGCAAAUGGAACGAAAGAUAAACAAGGACCGGGUGACAGAUGAGUCUUCCAUUGCGGACACUGGAGUGACCACAGUUGGAGAAAUCCUGUCCACAAAACAACUGAUUAUUCGUCGUGGCCUAGCCUUCCUUUCAGGACCACUUGUACUGGCAAUUGGACUGGUGAUACACUUCAUUCUUGCAAAGGACAGGUAGACCCCAGUGAACAAUGGAGAGACAAAGCAAGAUUAUUUUCUGCAGCAUGAAUGGUAAGAUUUUGCCCAAAGGACAACAGAGGCCAAAGUUCACACAAAACCUGUUGCUACUGAUGAACUCCAGUCAACCGUCAAAUAAAUA
Long non-coding RNA from Carcharodon carcharias (great white shark), 5364 nucleotides. RefSeq lists it as uncharacterized. The transcript has 3 exons. Lineage: Eukaryota; Metazoa; Chordata; Chondrichthyes; Lamniformes; Lamnidae. The record is from RefSeq and is a predicted model, not a curated record.